CCAGGCACUCUGCGGCAAUGUAACCAGUUAAUGGACUAACUAUUUCCUGCUUAGAUUUUGCGUUCAUAGGGGUAGGUGUUCGCUACAAUAUUCUGUUUCCAGGAAAUGCUAUUUGUGUGUCUAUGCGCUACAUUCUCACUGCUGCAUGCACCAGAAUUUCCCCCAGGGAAGAAUAAUGCCGAACAUCAUAAAGUCAUUGUCAGGAACAACCUCAUUUAGCAUGUUUAAUUUGCACACAAUUACUAUCAAAUACAUGAUGAAUACAUGAUGUGGGUGUGUGUGCAUAUAUAUGUAUGUGUAUUAUGGCUAUUUACAGUCACUCACUUUUUCAUUUCUGGCGUGGUAUGACUGAUACUAGUGCGACAGUAAUUAAUUGUCCGGAGUUAGAAAGUCAAUGUCUGUCUUUAGUUAUCUGCAGGAUGUGCACAUCUCAUUCAUCACAUUGGGUAACAAACCAUCUGAAUAUCCAGGGCAGUUAGAGUCGUGACGCCCUAAUUCACCUCAGCUUGCUUACAGGGUGCUGCAGCCUUCAGCGAUGAGCCUUAGAGAACGUCGAUGGAAGACGAGAUGCUUCUUUGUCGACACCGGAUAAUUCCACCUACCAAGAUGAGCCUGCUUUUACCCUGGUACACGGCCAAUACCUGCCAGAGAAUCUCCUAGCGAAACUCAAGGAAUCCUGAGGGUUCGUCUUGGGAGGUGGGAGGAUCAGAGAGAAGGUCCUGGAGGAAUCUGUGCAAGACAAACAGGGCUCCUGUUGAAAUGCUUGAGAUGGGUGGGUCAAAGUGACGUCACCUGAGGAACGCAGGCCCUCCGGCACUGUAAGCAGUCCUACACUGGGCCCCCACGGGCUAUGAUAUCUUCAUUCAAAGCAUCCUCUCAUGGUCAGCACGGUGGUAUAGCUCUCAGUUCUAUAGGCGCACACCUCAGGAGUUGGGGCUGUGAGUUUGAAUGCUUUCCCAAUUUAUUUAUUUAUUUUUUUGGGGGGAGGGGGGUGAUUCUUCUUAGUAUUCUGGUUUCCUUCUUUGGUCCAAAAACACGCAGGCAGAUGAACUAAUGACUGAAUCCCCCAUCAUGUGUGACCGUGUGCCCCAGUUAUCUUAUCAUGCAGUUCCUGGGAUAGACUCCAGAAUACCACGGCUUGACUGACGUCUGAAACAGCAGGUGAGAUACCUUCUGAGAUCAUUAUUUCAGAACGAUAUACAGUGAUGCGCAAAAUCAGUAAAGUUGCAGUCCAGCACUCUAUGUUUUUCUGAACACUUUAUGCUUUUUGAGUACAUGUAGAAACCAUGUGAUCUCUGGCCACUUAGUUUUGGCUCUGAGGAACCUGCCUUUACUCUACCCUGAACAGAUGGAGUUUCUUCAUAGCCUUAGUUGUUUUGAUUUCUCAAUGGCCAGUGCAAUAACACUGUCAUUCUGUUUACGAAAGAAAAAAAUGAGCAGGUGACCUGUUCCAGGCAAUCCAUUUAGCCACACCCCCAUGCCUCUUUGUUGGCUCUCAUUGGUCCAGUUGUGACCAAUCACAAAUAAGAUAAUUAAAAUAAGAGACUUAAGGAUAAAAAAAAAAGGUGCUAAUCAAUGGUGCUUAAAAACAGAAGAGUUUAAAAGUUUGUUUCAUUACACAGUGUUAUAGUAACAUUGACAAAUAAAACUUUUAAACAGAACUAAUGACUUCCUACACUGGUGUGUGACACUUCACAAGGUAGGAAAUUACCUCAACAGACAAGCCUGAAUGGACUCAUAUGCAAGUAUAACUAGAAGUCUUGUAUGCCCAAUUUGUGCGAAAGCAAAAUACUUUAAUGCUAAUUGGAUUUGCUUCUUAAACUUGGACAGGGCAACAACUAUGGAUUUAUGCUAGCGAGUGUUUUCCACGGUGGAAGCACCAUAUAUAGGAGCUAAACUGGCCAGCAGGAUUACACUGACUGACAACGACACCACAGAAGCAGCGCAGAAGGGAUUUGCUAUAAACACAAUAUUUGUAUUGUUCCCCAGCAACACUUGGGAGUUUUUUGAGAACCGAUUGCCGGUGAAAGGCAGUGACCUGAGCAGAGAGGGUGUGUCUGACAGGCAGCCACAGGAGCUGAGACUGUAACAGGGGGCUAGACCUGAGCUAUGCCUGGCUUUGACGUGAACCUUGCACUUUGUCACGAAAUGCUGCUGCGUGUGCUGUCGUCCCAGUCACCUGCGAGGGCUGGAAUUCAUUUCCCAGAAACGGGAUGAAGUUCCUGGGUGUUAAAACAUGUUCUUUCCUUGUCUGAAACUUCCCUACAAACCCCUCCCAAGAAUGUUUAAAUUCUAUGUUGCUUUGGUAAUAGCAUUUGGACAGGAGGUCUACGGCUGCUGCUGCGGCUAACAGUUAUGUUAAUGAGGCUAAAGCUAUUUAAAGCUAAUUACUAUUGGCAGAACCCAAAUUAACUGAUCCUCACUACUUUGGUACUCUGGCUAUUCUGAUCUCCCAUAGUAAUGUGGCAGCCCCUUUGUAGAUGUGACUCAUCCCCCCCCUUCUUCUUUCCCAUUGGUAUACUCCAGGGCCUCCCAUUGUCCAAAGUGGUACAGACCCACUCAAUGUAAAAAUAUAUAUGCUAACAGCUUGGCUUCAAACAUUAAUGAGGUUCAUUAACCUCAAUAACGGGACCCUGACAUGCUCUGGGUGUGGAGUGAAUAAGUUUAAUCUUUAAAAUCCAUCCUCGUUUAUUAGUUUUUUCACAAGUACACGCAGAAAUUCACCAACGCCUAUAAUGGAAUGAAAUUUCUGCUUGUAUUUUCUAAAUGAGAAAUUCAUCGUUAGGGCAGUGAACCGGCACCCAGGGGCCCAGGGUCCUGUGCCCCCCCCAGGCUCGUUUGGGGAGGCAGCGUAAAUGGGAGGCAGGAAGUGGAGAUUCUAUUAAGAACAUUUAUUAGCCUUUGUCAAAUUAGGACACACAUAGUCACCGUUUUUGGAAAUACAUUCUGAAGGCGACUUGCAUUUUCUCUGACACGAGGUGCCGUUCCUAUAUCCUAUAAUUUCUAUAAUUUUUAUAAGUUCGUUCCUCUAUGGAUGGACCAUGCGGCCAUCAGGCUACACAACAACACAUCAUUAAUUUAACUGAUAGACAUUACAGUUCCUAGCCAUACAUAUAACUAUAACGACUUCUCUCUAUACACCUUUACACAGCUAGACAUCAAGAGUUCAGUGGUACAAAAGUCAGACACCCACUUAACAGUUAACUCUGCAAUCUUUUGAUCGUGUCACAGUUUGCUGGAAUCCUGAAAGUGUGUCUCUGUGCGGGAGCUUUGGGAACAUGACUGAUACAGGGCAAAAUUAGCAUGAAAUGCAUGUGGGCUGAAAUAUGGGCAUUAAAGAGGUUUUAAAUAUAAGAUCCAAGCUGGCAAGCUUUUUAUUUUGGCACAUGUGAUGGGAGUGAAGUCCUGACAGCAGGCCAGAGCAAGUCCUGCAAGUAGCAUGGAAACCGCAGCGGUGAUGUCAUGGGGGCGGAGCUCAUGAUUCAGAUUCCGAUUCCGAAAAACUUUAUUGAUCCCUGAGGAAAUUAUGUGGUUACUGUUCCCGAUAGUUAAAUAACAAAUAAUACAAAUAU
Long non-coding RNA from Brienomyrus brachyistius, 3572 nucleotides. RefSeq lists it as uncharacterized. The record is from RefSeq and is a predicted model, not a curated record. The transcript is spliced from 4 exons. NCBI's taxonomy places the organism in Eukaryota, Metazoa, Chordata, Actinopteri, Osteoglossiformes, Mormyridae.